GAUGAACGCUGGCGGCGUGCCUAAUACAUGCAAGUCGAGCGAACAGAUGAGGAGCUUGCUCCUCUGACGUUAGCGGCGGACGGGUGAGUAACACGUGGAUAACCUACCUAUAAGACUGGGAUAACUUCGGGAAACCGGAGCUAAUACCGGAUAAUAUAUCGAACCGCAUGGUUCAAUAGUGAAAGACGGUUUUGCUGUCACUUAUAGAUGGAUCCGCGCCGCAUUAGCUAGUUGGUAAGGUAACGGCUUACCAAGGCAACGAUGCGUAGCCGACCUGAGAGGGUGAUCGGCCACACUGGAACUGAGACACGGUCCAGACUCCUACGGGAGGCAGCAGUAGGGAAUCUUCCGCAAUGGGCGAAAGCCUGACGGAGCAACGCCGCGUGAGUGAUGAAGGUCUUCGGAUCGUAAAACUCUGUUAUUAGGGAAGAACAAAUGUGUAAGUAACUAUGCACGUCUUGACGGUACCUAAUCAGAAAGCCACGGCUAACUACGUG
Molecule: ribosomal RNA, 497 nt
Filed under: uncultured bacterium
Lineage: Bacteria
Description: partial 16S ribosomal RNA
Rfam family: Bacterial small subunit ribosomal RNA
Source: RNAcentral